This 1422-nucleotide ribosomal RNA is filed under the name Plasmodium falciparum 318.1. RNAcentral's name for it is "SSU rRNA". It matches the Rfam family "Eukaryotic small subunit ribosomal RNA", at positions 3 to 1333 of the family's 1831-position model. Lineage: Eukaryota; Apicomplexa; Aconoidasida; Haemosporida; Plasmodiidae. The record is from RNAcentral.
CCUGGUUGAUCUUGCCAGUAGUCAUAUGCUUGUCUCAAAGAUUAAGCCAUGCAAGUGAAAGUAUAUAUAUAUUUUAUAUGUAGAAACUGCGAACGGCUCAUUAAAACAGUUAUAGUCUACUUGACAUUUUUAUUAUAAGGAUAACUACGGAAAAGCUGUAGCUAAUACUUGCUUUAUUAUCCUUUGAUUUUUAUCUUUGGAUAAGUAUUUGUUAGGCCUUAUAAGAAAAAAGUUAUUAACUUAAGGAAUUAUAACAAAGAAGUAACACGUAAUAAAUUUAUUUUAUUUAGUGUGUAUCAAUCGAGUUUCUGACCUAUCAGCUUUUGAUGUUAGGGUAUUGGCCUAACAUGGCUAUGACGGGUAACGGGGAAUUAGAGUUCGAUUCCGGAGAGGGAGCCUGAGAAAUAGCUACCACAUCUAAGGAAGGCAGCAGGCGCGUAAAUUACCCAAUUCUAAAGAAGAGAGGUAGUGACAAGAAAUAACAAUGCAAGGCCAAUUUUUGGUUUUGUAAUUGGAAUGGUGGGAAUUUAAAACCUUCCCAGAGUAACAAUUGGAGGGCAAGUCUGGUGCCAGCAGCCGCGGUAAUUCCAGCUCCAAUAGCGUAUAUUAAAAUUGUUGCAGUUAAAACGCUCGUAGUUGAAUUUCAAAGAAUCGAUAUUUUAUUGCAACUAUUCUAGGGGAACUAUUUUAGCUUUUCGCUUUAAUACGCUUCCUCUAUUAUUAUGUUCUUUAAAUAACAAAGAUUCUUUUUAAAAUCCCCACUUUUGCUUUUGCUUUUUGGGGAUUUUGUUACUUUGAGUAAAUUAGAGUGUUCAAAGCAAACAGUUAAAGCAUUUACUGUGUUUGAAUACUAUAGCAUGGAAUAACAAAAUUGAACAAGCUAAAAUUUUUUGUUCUUUUUUCUUAUUUUGGCUUAGUUACGAUUAAUAGGAGUAGCUUGGGGACAUUCGUAUUCAGAUGUCAGAGGUGAAAUUCUUAGAUUUUCUGGAGACGAACAACUGCGAAAGCAUUUGUCUAAAAUACUUCCAUUAAUCAAGAACGAAAGUUAAGGGAGUGAAGACGAUCAGAUACCGUCGUAAUCUUAACCAUAAACUAUGCCGACUAGGUGUUGGAUGAAAGUGUUAAAAAUAAAAGUCAUCUUUCGAGGUGACUUUUAGAUUGCUUCCUUCAGUACCUUAUGAGAAAUCAAAGUCUUUGGGUUCUGGGGCGAGUAUUCGCGCAAGCGAGAAAGUUAAAAGAAUUGACGGAAGGGCACCACCAGGCGUGGAGCUUGCGGCUUAAUUUGACUCAACACGGGGAAACUCACUAGUUUAAGACAAGAGUAGGAUUGACAGAUUAAUAGCUCUUUCUUGAUUUCUUGGAUGGUGAUGCAUGGCCGUUUUUAGUUCGUGAAUAUGAUUUGUCUGGUUAAUUCCGAUAACG